RNAcentral lists this ribosomal RNA (693 nucleotides) under uncultured bacterium. RNAcentral describes it as "bacterial SSU rRNA". It matches the Rfam family "Bacterial small subunit ribosomal RNA", at positions 8 to 749 of the family's 1533-position model. The record is from RNAcentral.
AGAGUUUGAUCCUGGCUCAGAACGAACGCUGGCGGCAGGCCUAACACAUGCAAGUCGAACGCCCCGCAAGGGGAGUGGCAGACGGGUGAGUAACACGUGGGAAUCUUCCUAUCGGUGCGGAAUAGCUCAGGGAAACUUGAGGUAAUACCGCAUACGCCCCUUGGGGGAAAGAUUUAUCGCCGAUAGAUGAGCCCGCGUCUGAUUAGCUAGUUGGUGAGGUAAUGGCUCACCAAGGCGACGAUCAGUAGCUGGUCUGAGAGGAUGACCAGCCACACUGGGACUGAGACACGGCCCAGACUCCUACGGGAGGCAGCAGUGGGGAAUAUUGGACAAUGGGCGCAAGCCUGAUCCAGCCAUGCCGCGUGAGUGACGAAGGUCUUCGGAUUGUAAAGCUCUUUUGGCGGGGACGAUAAUGACGGUACCCGCAGAAUAAGCCCCGGCUAACUUCGUGCCAGCAGCCGCGGUAAUACGAAGGGGGCUAGCGUUGUUCGGAAUUACUGGGCGUAAAGCGCACGUAGGCGGAUUUGCAAGUCAGGGGUGAAAUCCCGGGGCUCAACCUCGGAACUGCCUUUGAUACUGCAGGUCUUGAGUCCGGAAGAGGUGAGUGGAAUUCCUAGUGUAGAGGUGAAAUUCGUAGAUAUUAGGAAGAACACCAGUGGCGAAGGCGGCUCACUGGUCCGGUACUGACGCUGA